Molecule: ribosomal RNA, 497 nt
Filed under: uncultured bacterium
Lineage: Bacteria
Description: partial 16S ribosomal RNA
Rfam family: Bacterial small subunit ribosomal RNA
Source: RNAcentral
GAUGAACGCUGGCGGCGUGCCUAAUACAUGCAAGUCGAGCGAACAGACGAGGAGCUUGCUCCUCUGACGUUUGCGGCGGACGGGUGAGUCACACGUGGAUAACCUACCUAUAAGACUGGGAUAACUUCGGGAAACCGGCGCUAAUCCCGGAUAAUAUCUUGAACCGCAUUGUUCAAUAGUGAAAGUCGGUUUUUCUGUCACUUAUAGAUGGAUCCGCGCCGCAUUAGCUAGUUGGUAAGGUCACGGCUUACCAAGGCAACGAUGCGUAGCCGACCGCAGAGGGGGGUCGGCCACACUAGAACGGAGACAGCGUCAAUGGUACUACGAGACGCAGCAGUAGGGAAUCGGACGCAAUGGGGGGAAGCCUGACGGAGCAAGGGCGCGUGAGUGAUGAAAGUCUUCGGAUCGUAAAACCCUGUUAUUGGGGAAGAACAAAUGUGUAAGUAACUAUGCACGUCUUGACGGUACCUAAUCAGAAAGCAACGGCUAACUACGUG